AGCAGCCGCGGUAAUUCCAGCUCCAAUAGCGUAUAUUAAAGUUGUUGCAGUUAAAAAGCUCGUAGUUGAAUUUCGGGAUCGAAUUGUUGGUCGUGCUUCGGUACGCACUGGCAUUAUCGGUUUCUACCUUCUGAAGAACCGCGAUGUCAUUAAUUUGGUGUCGUGGGGAAUCAGGACUGUUGCUUUGAAAAAAUUAGAGUGUUUAAAGCAGGCUUACGCUUGAAUACAUUAGCAUGGAAUAAUGAAAUAGGACGUUUGAUUCUAUUUUGUUGGUUUCUAGGAUCGACGUAAUGAUUAAUAGGGAUAGUUGGGGGCAUUAGUAUUCAAUUGUCAGAGGUGAAAUUCUUGGAUUUAUUGAAGACUAACUACUGCGAAAGCAUUUGCCAAGGAUGUUUUCAUUAAUCAAGAACGAAAGUUAGGGGAUCGAAGACGAUCAGAUACCGUCGUAGUCUUAACCAUAAACUAUGCCGACUAGGGAUCGGAUGAUGUUAAUUUUAUAAUGACUC
Molecule: ribosomal RNA, 506 nt
Filed under: uncultured Glomeromycotina
Lineage: Eukaryota; Fungi; Glomeromycota
Description: SSU rRNA
Rfam family: Eukaryotic small subunit ribosomal RNA
Source: RNAcentral